RNAcentral lists this ribosomal RNA (467 nucleotides) under uncultured bacterium. Its description in RNAcentral is "bacterial SSU rRNA". It matches the Rfam family "Bacterial small subunit ribosomal RNA", at positions 28 to 507 of the family's 1533-position model. The record is from RNAcentral.
GACGAACGCUGGCGGCGUGCUUAACACAUGCAAGUCGAACGGUCCUGUUUUUGAAGCGUUUCGGCGUGGAGGGGACGGGGCAGUGGCGCACGGGUGAGUAAUGCGCGAGGACCUGCCCGCGGGAGGGGGACAGCAGUUGGAAACGGCUGGUGAUACCCCGUAGGCCGGGAGGUAAAAGGGCGGAGACGCCCGCCUGCGGAUGGACUCGCGUCCUAUCAGCUAGUUGGUGAGGCAACGGCUCACCAAGGCGACGACGGGUAGCCGGCCUGAGAGGGUGUCCGGCCACACUGGAACUGAGACACGGUCCAGACUCCUACGGGAGGCAGCAGUGGGGAAUUUUGGGCAAUGGGGGAGACCCUGACCCAGCGACGCCGCGUGAGGGACGAAGGCCCUUGGGUCGUAAACCUCUUUUGCAGGGGAAGAAGUGCGUGACGGUACCUUGCGAAUAAGUCCCGGCUAACUACGUG